Molecule: ribosomal RNA, 257 nt
Filed under: uncultured bacterium
Lineage: Bacteria
Description: partial 16S ribosomal RNA
Rfam family: Bacterial small subunit ribosomal RNA
Source: RNAcentral
UACGUAGGGCGCAAGGCGUUAUCCGGAAUUAUUUGGGCGUAAAGAGCUCGUAGGCGGUUUGUCGCGUCUGACUGUGAAAGACCGGGGCUCAACUCCGGUUCUGCAGUGGGUACGGGCAGACUAGAGUGAUGUAGGGGAGACUGGAAUUCCUGGUGUAGCGGUGAAAUGCGCAGAUAUCAGGAGGAACACCGAUGGCGAAGGCAGGUCUCUGGGCGAUUAACUGACGCUGAGGAGCGAAAGCAUGGGGAGCGAACAGG